GCCAGACAUGGUGGCACACACCUGUAGUCCCAGCUACUCAGGAGGCUGAGACAGGAGGAUCGCUUGAGUCCAGGAGUUCUGGGCUGUAGUGCUUUAUGCUGAUCGAGUGUCUUGCUUUAUGCUGAUCGGGUGUCUGCACUAAGUUCAGUAUCAAUAUGGUGACUUCUCAGGAGCAGGGGGCCACCAGGUUGCCCAAGGAGAGGUGAACCAGCCCAGGUCAGAAAUGGAGCAGGUCAAAAACUCCCAUGCUGAUCAGUAGUGGGAUCGUGCCUGUGAAUAGCCACUGCACUCCACCCUGGGCAACACAGCGAGACCCCAUCUGUU
Molecule: non-coding RNA, 324 nt
Organism: Otolemur garnettii (small-eared galago)
Lineage: Eukaryota; Metazoa; Chordata; Mammalia; Primates; Galagidae
Source: Rfam